RNAcentral lists this non-coding RNA (210 nucleotides) under Lactobacillus sp. RNAcentral's name for it is "T-box sequence". It matches the Rfam family "T-box leader". From Rfam's summary of the family: Uncharged tRNA acts as the effector for transcription antitermination of genes in the T-box leader family. T-boxes are found upstream of many aminoacyl-tRNA synthetase genes and some amino acid biosynthetic genes usually in Gram-positive bacteria. Lineage: Bacteria; Bacillati; Bacillota; Bacilli; Lactobacillales; Lactobacillaceae. The record is from RNAcentral.
UAGUAUAUAAAGCAACGGAAAUAGUAAAUUUAAAAAGAAUUUCAGAAAGUACGUGGUUAAUGUGAACGUAUAACUUUUUAAAUUGAACUCAUCCAUUUAAUUUAACUGCUGAAUUUAGUAGGUGGUUACGAAUCGUCCGCGUUAAGGAUUUUGAGAGUCACUUCUUUGUGGAGUGGAACUUAGGUGGUAACGCGAUAAUUCGUCCUAUGA